Molecule: ribosomal RNA, 275 nt
Filed under: uncultured bacterium
Lineage: Bacteria
Description: partial 16S ribosomal RNA
Rfam family: Bacterial small subunit ribosomal RNA
Source: RNAcentral
CCUACGGGUGGCUGCAGUGGGGAAUUUUGGACAAUGGGCGAAAGCCUGAUCCAGCCAUGCCGCGUGAGGGAAGAAGGCCUUCGGGUUGUAAACCUCUUUCGGCCGGGACGAAAUCGCACGGAUUAAUACCCUGUGUGGAUGACGGUACCGGAAGAAGAAGCACCGGCUAACUACGUGCCAGCAGCCGCGGUAAUACGUAGGGUGCGAGCGUUAAUCGGAAUUACUGGGCGUAAAGCGUGCGCAGGCGGUCGUUUAAGCCAGAUGUGAAAUCCCCG